UGGCGCGUAGCUCAGUGGUAGAGCACCACGUUGACAUCGUGGUGGUCGGCGGUUCGAAACCGCCCGCGCCAACCA
RNAcentral lists this transfer RNA (75 nucleotides) under Myxococcota bacterium. Its description in RNAcentral is "tRNA-Val". It matches the Rfam family "tRNA". Rfam says of the family: Transfer RNA (tRNA) molecules are approximately 80 nucleotides in length. Their secondary structure includes four short double-helical elements and three loops (D, anti-codon, and T loops). Lineage: Bacteria; Pseudomonadati; Myxococcota. The record is from RNAcentral.